Molecule: ribosomal RNA, 901 nt
Filed under: Cortinarius vitreopileatus
Lineage: Eukaryota; Fungi; Basidiomycota; Agaricomycetes; Agaricales; Cortinariaceae
Description: partial large subunit ribosomal RNA
Rfam family: Eukaryotic large subunit ribosomal RNA
Source: RNAcentral
AAAAGAAACUAACAAGGAUUCCCCUAGUAACUGCGAGUGAAGCGGGAAAAGCUCAAAUUUAAAAUCUGUCAGUCUUUGGCUGUCCGAGUUGUAAUCUAGAGAAGCGUUAUCCGCGCUGGACCGUGUACAAGUCUCCUGGAAUGGAGCGUCAUAGAGGGUGAGAAUCCCGUCUUUGACACGGACUGCCAGUGCUUUGUGAUGCGCUCUCAAAGAGUCGAGUUGUUUGGGAAUGCAGCUCAAAAUGGGUGGUAAAUUCCAUCUAAAGCUAAAUAUUGGCGAGAGACCGAUAGCGAACAAGUACCGUGAGGGAAAGAUGAAAAGAACUUUGGAAAGAGAGUUAAACAGUACGUGAAAUUGCUGAAAGGGAAACGCUUGAAGUCAGUCGCGUUGUCCAGGGAUCAACCUUGCUUCUGCUUGGUGUACUUUCUGGUUGACGGGUCAGCAUCAAUUUUGACCAUUGGAAAAAGAUUAAGGGAAUGUGGCAUCCUUGGAUGUGUUAUAGCCUUUGGUUGCAUACAAUGGUUGGGAUUGAGGAACUCAGCACGCCGCAAGGCCGGGUUUUAACCACGUACGUGCUUAGGAUGCUGGCAUAAUGGCUUUAAUCGACCCGUCUUGAAACACGGACCAAGGAGUCUAACAUGCCUGCGAGUGUUUGGGUGGAAAACCCGAGCGCGUAAUGAAAGUGAAAGUUGAGAUCCUUGUCAUGGGGAGCAUCGACGCCCGGACCAGACCUUUUGUGACGGUUCCGCGGUAGAGCAUGUAUGUUGGGACCCGAAAGAUGGUGAACUAUGCCUGAAUAGGGUGAAGCCAGAGGAAACUCUGGUGGAGGCUCGUAGCGAUUCUGACGUGCAAAUCGAUCGUCAAAUUUGGGUAUAGGGGCGAAAGACUAAUCGAACCAUCU